GACGAACGCUGGCGGCGUGCUUAACACAUGCAAGUCGAACGGAAAGGCCCUGCUCUUGUGGGGUGCUCGAGUGGCGAACGGGUGAGUAACACGUGAGUAACCUGCCCUUGACUUUGGGAUAACUUCAGGAAACUGGGGCUAAUACCGGAUAGGAGCUCCCGCUGCAUGGUGGGGGUUGGAAAGUUUCGGCGGUUGGGGAUGGACUCGCGGCUUAUCAGCUUGUUGGUGGGGUAGUGGCUUACCAAGGCUUUGACGGGUAGCCGGCCUGAGAGGGUGACCGGCCACAUUAGGACUGAGAUACGGCCCAGACUCCUACGGGAGGCAGCAGUGGGGAGUAUUGCACAAUGGGCGGAAGCCUGCUGCAGCAACGCCGCGUGCGGGAUGACGGCCUUCGGGUUGUAAACCGCUUUCGCCUGUGACGAAGCGUGAGUGACGGUAAUGGGUAAAGAAGCACCGGCUAACUACGUG
This 468-nucleotide ribosomal RNA is filed under the name uncultured bacterium. Its description in RNAcentral is "partial 16S ribosomal RNA". It matches the Rfam family "Bacterial small subunit ribosomal RNA", at positions 28 to 507 of the family's 1533-position model. The record is from RNAcentral.